This 425-nucleotide ribosomal RNA is filed under the name uncultured Sphingomonadaceae bacterium. Its description in RNAcentral is "bacterial SSU rRNA". It matches the Rfam family "Bacterial small subunit ribosomal RNA", at positions 354 to 796 of the family's 1533-position model. Lineage: Bacteria; Pseudomonadati; Pseudomonadota; Alphaproteobacteria; Sphingomonadales; Sphingomonadaceae. The record is from RNAcentral.
GUGGGGAAUAUUGGACAAUGGGCGAAAGCCUGAUCCAGCAAUGCCGCGUGAGUGAUGAAGGCCUUAGGGUUGUAAAGCUCUUUUACCCGGGAUGAUAAUGACAGUACCGGGAGAAUAAGCUCCGGCUAACUCCGUGCCAGCAGCCGCGGUAAUACGGAGGGAGCUAGCGUUGUUCGGAAUUACUGGGCGUAAAGCGCACGUAGGCGGCUACUCAAGUCGGGGGUGAAAGCCCGGGGCUCAACCCCGGAACUGCCUUCGAAACUAGGUAGCUAGAAUCUUGGAGAGGUCAGUGGAAUUCCGAGUGUAGAGGUGAAAUUCGUAGAUAUUCGGAAGAACACCAGUGGCGAAGGCGACUGACUGGACAAGUAUUGACGCUGAGGUGCGAAAGCGUGGGGAGCAAACAGGAUUAGAAACCCCGGUAGUCC